GUGCAGGCCGCAGCCCCGCUGUCUGUCCCUACGGGGACCGUGGCCCUUGCCGUGGGGGCCCCGCUCCUGUGUUCAGCGUCCUCUCCUGCACGGAUCUCCCGAUGAAACCCUGGGCCAAAGCCACCAGCGGCUGCCCCGCCGCCAUCCGUCGGACUCUCGUCUUCCUGUUCCCUCCACCUGGCUUUGAGAAGACAAAGGAACAAAUUACUUCUUAGGAAGAAUGCUAGUGCUCCCUUCUGGGUGCUGGCAGCAGCCUACUAAAGAGGUCUCCAGUAGCCCCCCAUUAUCCACCAGUUUAGUCGCCUGUGGUCAA
This 313-nucleotide long non-coding RNA is filed under the name Cavia porcellus (domestic guinea pig). RNAcentral's name for it is "lncRNA (ENSCPOG00000039147.1)". The record is from RNAcentral. Lineage: Eukaryota; Metazoa; Chordata; Mammalia; Rodentia; Caviidae.